CCUACGGGUGGCAGCAGUGGGGAAUAUUGCGCAAUGGGCGAAAGCCUGACGCAGCGACGCCGCGUGAAGGAAGAAGGAUUUCGGGAUGUAAACUUCUAUCAGCAGGGAAGAAAAUGACGGUACCUGACUAAGAAGCCCCGGCUAACUACGUGCCAGCAGCCGCGGUAAUACGUAGGGGGCAAGCGUUAUCCGGAUUUACUGGGUGUAAAGGGAGCGUAGGCGGCGAUGCAAGUCAGAAGUGAAAGCCCCGGGCUCAACUCCGGGACUGCUUUUGAAACUGUGUUGCUAGAUUGCAGGAGAGGUAAGUGGAAUUCCUAGUGUAGCGGUGAAAUGCGUAGAUAUUAGGAGGAACACCAGUUGCGAAGGCGGCUUACUGGACUGUAAAUGACGCUGAGGCUCGAAAGCGUGGGGAGCAAACAGGAUUAGAUACCCGAGUAGUC
RNAcentral lists this ribosomal RNA (440 nucleotides) under uncultured bacterium. RNAcentral describes it as "partial 16S ribosomal RNA". It matches the Rfam family "Bacterial small subunit ribosomal RNA", at positions 338 to 795 of the family's 1533-position model. The record is from RNAcentral.